AACCUAAAGAGGAGGGUGCAUUAGCCCAUGAGCUAUGUCCUGGGCUGGAGCCAGGGGCCCCAAGGAAACUGUAACCCGGCAGUCCUUCUAGAAUGUUCUGCCAAGUUUCAGAGGGUGAGUAAAACACCACCCUUGGCCUAGAGUUCAGAUCAAAGUUGGGAGUCACCAACUCUCCAGGAUUCAACAGAAAACAACUCUAGCGGGAGCACCUGGAGGGCGAACUCAGAACGAAAAUCCACAAGUUGUAAGAAAAUGGCAGACAAGCCUGACACGGGGAAAAUCGCCAGCUUCAAUAAGGCCAAGCUGAAGAAAACGGAGACGCUGGAGAAGAACACCCUGCCGACCAAAGAGAGCCUCGUGGGUGCCUCACCCACACUGUAUUUGUGGGUUGGGUGUGGGGGGCUGUAAGGUAGCUCCAUUCUCCAAUGACCACAUCCGGCCCUGCGCAGCUGUUGAACAGGAAAAGAGGAGUGAAAUCUCCUAAAAGCCUAAUAAGAUUUCCCCACCCCACCCCACCCCGUCAUCUCCAAGACCCCCUUGUGAUGUGGAGGAAGAGCCACCUGCAGGAUGGACGUGAGCCACAAGCUGCACUGUGAACCCCGGGCACUCCUAGCCGAUGCCACUGGCCUGUGGGUCUCUGAAGGGGACCCCUCCACUAAUCGGACUGCCAAAUUUCAUCGGUUUGCCCUGGGAUAUUAUAGAAGAUUAUUUGUAGGAUUGAUGAAAAUAAAACACACCUCGUGGCAAAAAAAAAAAAAAAAAAA
Mastomys coucha (southern multimammate mouse) is the source of this 764-nucleotide long non-coding RNA. RefSeq lists it as uncharacterized. Lineage: Eukaryota; Metazoa; Chordata; Mammalia; Rodentia; Muridae. The transcript is spliced from 2 exons. The record is from RefSeq and is a predicted model, not a curated record.